CAGAGGGUGCAAGCGUUAAUCGGAUUUACUGGGCGUAAAGCGCGCGUAGGUGGCCAAUUAAGUCAAAUGUGAAAUCCCCGAGCUUAACUUGGGAAUUGCAUUCGAUACUGGUUGGCUAGAGUAUGGGAGAGGAUGGUAGAAUUCCAGGUGUAGCGGUGAAAUGCGUAGAGAUCUGGAGGAAUACCGAUGGCGAAGGCAGCCAUCUGGCCUAAUACUGACACUGAGGUGCGAAAGCAUGGGGAGCAAA
RNAcentral lists this ribosomal RNA (247 nucleotides) under uncultured bacterium. RNAcentral describes it as "partial 16S ribosomal RNA". It matches the Rfam family "Bacterial small subunit ribosomal RNA", at positions 526 to 772 of the family's 1533-position model. The record is from RNAcentral.